Molecule: ribosomal RNA, 341 nt
Filed under: uncultured Pseudomonadota bacterium
Lineage: Bacteria; Pseudomonadati; Pseudomonadota
Description: bacterial SSU rRNA
Rfam family: Bacterial small subunit ribosomal RNA
Source: RNAcentral
AACGAACGCUGGCGGCGUGCCUAACACAUGCAAGUCGAGCGAGAAAGUCCCUUCGGGGGCGAGUAGAGCGGCGGACGGGUGAGUAAUACAUAGAUAAUCUAUCCUCGAGUUUGGGAUAACACUGCGAAAGCGGUGCUAAUACCGGAUAAGACCACGUCACCAAGGUGAUGCGGUAAAAGGUGGCUUUGUUUUCGGAUAAGGCUAUCACUUGAGGCUGAGUCUAUGGCCUAUCAGCUUGUUGGUGAGGUAAAGGCUCACCAAGGCUAUGACGGGUAGCUGGUCUAAGAGGACGACCAGCCACACUGGGACUGAGACACGGCCCAGACUCCUACGGGUGGCAG